This 65-nucleotide transfer RNA is filed under the name Tambocerus sp. PY-2015. RNAcentral's name for it is "tRNA-Arg". The record is from RNAcentral. Lineage: Eukaryota; Metazoa; Arthropoda; Insecta; Hemiptera; Cicadellidae.
AACAAAGAAGUAAAAAAUACAUUUAGUUUCGACCUAAAAUUUUAAGGAAUAUUCCUUCUUGUUUU